RNAcentral lists this long non-coding RNA (4167 nucleotides) under Bemisia tabaci. Its description in RNAcentral is "lncRNA ENSASIAIIG005676". The record is from RNAcentral. Lineage: Eukaryota; Metazoa; Arthropoda; Insecta; Hemiptera; Aleyrodidae.
AUGACUGUAUAUUUACACUACCUAUUUUUCAACUCAGCUUCAUUCAUAAAUCCUGAGAUGAAAAAUAUCUUGUCGGGCAAGUUAUGGCGACUAUGCUAUUGGCUAUGCACAGCUGAAGAGAGAGGGAAAUGUGUGCAGAAUAACAGCUUAAGGAAGCCAAAGACUAGCUUAAGGAAAGAGCCUUACAUUGUAAAAUGUGACAUGAAUGAGAAUGAAGACAAGAUUCUCACUGCUAAAUGCAAUUCUUGUGUUGCAAAGGAGGACACCUGUAAGCAUGCAAUUGCAUUUCUAGCCUGGCUGGAACGCAAAGCUGCUGAGCCAGCACCAACGUCAGUGCAAUGCUACUGGGAAACGCCUGCACUGGCAAAAGUCGCAACUUCGACCAAGGUUGUCAAGACUAGCAACAAUUUUGGCAAAUCUAACUUCUUCCUCAGAGAGUGGUUCACCGACAGUGGCACUUGGGGGCCUGACCAGGCGGCACUGUCUCUUCACCAACUCACCCUCUAUGUGCUUAAAACCACGGUCCGCCAUCAGAACCGUGCCUGGCUUAAUAAUUUCUAAAAGGCCACAACUCUCUACUAUUUUCUGAUCACUCAUUCGUCCUGCAUAGCCUCCUGACACAAAAUUGAUCAAUCCAUUUGGGGUUGCACAAACUAAAUAUUUUACAGUGUUGCAGUUUUUAUAAGAGCUCCAAGUUUGAGCUUGGUGCAACGCAUUGCUCGGCUUCUCAAUUUCCGUCUCGAAGCAAUCAAUUAUGCCUUGUACAUCUGCGUAGUUUGCUCUGAAGGCAAUAGGCAAAUUUGCUUUAAUUACGUCAGGAUUGGGCCAGUGCACAAAUUGCUUAACAUAGGUAGAAAUAAGAGGAGUUGCUCUUCGAAAUAUCCUAGAAACUGAAGUGCGGUCUAGGCCAAACGUUACUGCCAAGUUAUCAAGACUCUCAUUCAACUUGAUCUUCCAGAGGACUACAAAUAUUUCUAAUUUUGAACACUUGGUGUGUUUUUCUAAAACUGAUACUACUAGUAAAGUUUCCGAAGAAAGGCCAAGGUAGAUAUGGGGAUACUUUUCCAUGGUUUUCAUGCUCACUCUUUGUCUCUCAAAAUUUUCAAAUGCUUCUAUGUAUUCCUUGGACUCUUGGGAAUGGUGAGAUGGAUUUUCUUCUGUGGUUGUCGAGGAUGGAAGGUUACAUUGGGAGAAAUGAACAAAAUCACCAAAAACUUUCUUCGCUCUCUUCUCUUCCCUAGUUUUGCUGAUGAAGUGGAGGGAACUGGUGGCUGUACAGUAACUUCUUCAGGCUAAAAUUUUAAAUAAAAAAUAGGGUUUAAUUUCACUUUUUAAACGUCCUUUCAUGAGUUACUUUUUAUCAAAAAAUUCUUGCUUUUCCGAAUUUUUUUAAGAAUAUUUGCUCAACAUUCAAUCUUGCAAUUACUAAAGUGUAUGCAUAUGUUUUGCACUUAUAUAAAAUCAUAAGAAUUAUUUGUAAUUCAUAACACCUGAGGCACGAGGCAGUCAGAUAGUGUACCUACUGGUUGCAUCUAUAACUAAGUAAAUGAUCAUUAAAUUUUAUUGCCAAAUUUGGCUAGCUAAGCUGUUUAUAAAACAUGAUUACUGAUUAAAAAUCGAGCUAAAAGCCAAAAUAAAGAAAUAAUAUAAUGAUGAAAGUUCAAACUACAUGUACUUGAGAGAAAAAUAAACAUACAAAAAGUUCAAUUUCUUCUCCUCUACAUGUAGUUUGAAAUUUUAUAUUAUUAUUUAUUUAUCUAUCUAGUGAUCUAUUUAUUUAUUUAUGUUGGCUUGUAGUUUGAUUUUUUAAUCAAUAAUUGUGUUAAAUGAUCAUAGUUGUAUGUUAAUAUCCUUCAACUUUUCAUUCCUCUACCUCAUUUGAUAUCUGCUUGCAAACUCUUCAGCAAUUUACAGUGGCUUCAAUGAGCUGCUCAACAAGUAUUGCGUGAAUAUAUUAAAGAACUUAUCAAGCUGUAUGCUCCUGCUAAAAAUUAUUGUGCAUAGCAAGGAUUUCAUCCGACAAAGAGUCCGAAAUCAAUUUCGAAGCGAGAUUUUAACAUGAGCAUGAAACACUGAUCAAAUGAGACACAAUCAUACAAAUGACAUGAUUUGUAUUUUUGAUAUUUGAGAAAUGUUUUGAUUACUUAUUUAUGAUAACUUGCAACUUCUUUCGGAGUUAUUUGUAGAACUAAAAAAAUGUAUGUAUGUUUGUGUAAAUCAAUUUUGAUGGAAAAUUUUGAAAACGAAAUAGGUGACACAGUGCUAUAGUUUGUACCUUGUCUAGAGCACCAUAUGAAAAAAACGCAGAUUUUCUGAGCGAGGAUCAGUGAAGUAUUCUCACCAUUCAAACUGUCAGCUUUUGAACUUCUAUCAGAAAUUUGAGGCAAUUUUUUAGGAUGGACACUUUAAAAUAGAUAUCAUAAAAAUCAACAGAAGCUGCUGACCCUUUACAUUAGAAUGACAGAGUAAAGUAAAAUGUGCUUGGGUACUAUCUAAAUCUGCUAUAAUUUUCUGAUAAGUUUCCUUUCAUAAUAGAUCAUGGUCAUCUAGUCGCUCCAAAACUUUUGAUAACACCUCCCACAUGGUCAAUUUUUCAUCAAAUUUAAAUCACGUAAUUGGACAUUAGUUUGCUUUAAAUCGUAGUUUCAUAAUUAAAACUUUCUUGACAGAGCGAAUAAAAUUGUUUCCUAUUUGUGUUAUUUCGGGGUAAAAAAAGCCUGAUCUUAAUUACCUGAAGAGAAGGCUGGUGGGUGGUCUUAUCAAUGGUCAACGCUCUAUAAGCACUGCACAAUCCUUUAUACAUCCACAUAAUGAGCACGGUUUUUGUUCAAUAUUAGAAGGCUAAAACAUUAAACAAUUGAAAAAUUUGUUAAAGCUAGUUAAUUAAGAUUGGCAUCUUGGCAAAAAUUACCCUGUCAAAUAUGAAAUAUGUAGGCUGCAAUGAGCUCAAGAGAAACCAAAAUUAUGAUGGUUUGAAGUUUAUAAAACAGUUUGGAGAAGAAAAAUAUUUGAAGUGAUCAUCCACCAUGUUCAGAGCUUAAAAUUGUUGAAUUAAAAUGCAACAUUACCAUAUAGUAUAAAAGUCUCAGAACUUCUUCUUUGGAAUACUGGAGUUGGUCUUACUGAAAAUCAACCUUCAGUUUUAUAAUUCAACUUCAGAAAAAUUCUCUCCUAAAUAAAUUUUCUCAGUUACUUAACGACUACGUAAUAAGACACAAAAUUUUAUUCCAAUUCCUUAUCCGCCAUCCUGCACCAUACAAUAGUUUUAUGAAAUAAGCAAUCGACCUCUUUCAAUUUUCCUCCUUUUUUUGCAGUACAAUGAAAAGUGUCGCAAUCAGAGUUGGAGAAAGAGAAGUCGAUCUUUUGAUUCGAGAAUACUUAAAAUUUGCUAGGCCAUUAAAGAAUACACAUGUUUAAUAGCGAUUAAAGUCGUGUUGGAAAGGGGAAUACAAUUCAAUACCUGUUGCUGAUGACUAACUCUGGCCACUGAAUCAUGGCUGCACGUGGACGUACUUGCUGCAAACAGCUGCUGAUGGCUGGCUUUAGCCACUGGUUUAUGGCAGCAUGUAGAUGCACUUGUUGCAUUCAGCUGUUGAUGACUAGCUUCUAUCUCUGUUUCAUCACUGAAAUUAGAUAUUCUUGGAGAGUUGGGCCGAUCAUGGAUUCGUAAAAUCUGGAGAUAAAAAGGAAAAAGGAAACAAUUAAGGUUUUAUUGUCAGGGUGAAUCAUUUUAUAAGGCUGCUGUCAUUUUAAAAAAUUAAGGCUGAAAAUAAUAAAACGAGAUAUUAUAUUUUUAAUGUGUUUGGUUUGCUGCGGGCUGAAUGAAAUGUAUGUUACAUUUUUUCAAAAGAUUUUGCUGAAAUGCAAAAUCUUAAUGAGGCUGAUGUCACCAAAUUACAGUCGCAAAUUUAGAGCUAAUUUGUAUCCUUUUUUGCUUUUAAUAUUAAUUACAAAACAAUCAUAAACGCGUCACAGGAGUUCCUUGAAUCAGAAAGCUCUGCUUAAAUGAAUAACAACUAAUGCCUUUGUUUCUGUAAACAUACCUACUGGUCAGUUGCUCACCAAAACUAGUUUCUUGAAUCUUGAAUCAUGUAGAGCAAUACUUCAUUUUGCUGGGCUUGUAUAGUCAUAUAUUUGUGUAUAUUUUGUCAUAUGUAAAUUUUGCCG